This is a long non-coding RNA of Hydractinia symbiolongicarpus, 1794 nucleotides long. RefSeq lists it as uncharacterized. The transcript is spliced from 2 exons. The record is from RefSeq and is a predicted model, not a curated record. NCBI's taxonomy places the organism in Eukaryota, Metazoa, Cnidaria, Hydrozoa, Anthoathecata, Hydractiniidae.
AGCACUUAAGUUAUAAAUAAAAAUUGUGGUAAAUUAUUAUACACAAAAGUCAUGAGGAUUAUUUCUUCGAUUAAGUAAUACAUUGCGGGUGUUAACGUGACUAGUUCACAUUAGCACCCGUUAAUUGAUGCGUGGAAAAAUGUAAUAAGGGCAUUUAGUGACAUCAGCAGUGUAUCAAUAAUUUUUUUAAACUUUUAUAACUCGUAGCAUCUAUUGCAAGUUUGGAACUCUGAUCAAAAUAUUGUAUGAGGAUGUAUAAGAAGAUGUAAACUAUUUUUUGUGACGUCAGCAAAGACCCUUAUAAAUUGAAUCUUUUUUAUGCGAGCACGCAAAAGCCAAUCCUUUUGAAAUCAGAUCAACAACACCGUCGUAUUUUUGUCAUUAUCUCUCAUAUCAAAAAGGCAGAAAUCCUUGACAACGAGGCUGGGACUCUAAAAGUUAUUAUUUUGGCAUAAUAGAGUCAAUUUCGAUCAAUGGAAUGAUGCUACUUACUGCUUUCAGUCCUGUAUGUUUAUUACACCUUUAGCUGAUUCUUACUGUAAAGAUUUACAUGGAAUGCUCAGCCAUACGGAAUGGAUACAUCAAACAGGGAAUAAACUUCCAAACCGCGGUAUGUAAUUAUGUUAAAGGGGAAGAAUUGCGCCCUAAUUUGAACAGGAAAGAAAAUAAUGCUUCUUAUAUGUUUUUACUCGUGUUUUUUGAAGAAAGAAUAUAUACGAAGGAGGUUAAACUGUCUCAAAAGAGGGAGAUUUUGGCGUGUAAUUAAUUUUAGGCGUGGUAUAAUGUUAAGGAAUCAAUAAAUUUGUUUAGUUUAGUAUGAUGAGAACAUAAUAAGUGAAGAAAAAGCUCCAAAAUACUCAUUUUGUCUUUUAGUCUUCGAUUUUUUAACGACAUUUUUAUUUCCUUUAAAAUCUGCUUCAUUAAAAUAGUUUUUGAUUAUUUUUUUUAAAUUUUUUUUUUUGGCGUAUUUUGACAAAAUUUGCUUUUUAAGCCCCUUUCUCCGGUUCUUUAUACCCCCUCCUCUCUUCCCCUAAAAAAAUGGUCUAAAUAGAUCGGAAUGUGGUCGUUUAACAAAUGUUCUUGUGGUUGCUUCUUUUUUUUCGCCUUUUUGCAACGAAAGAUUGUUUAUUUCUCCAAAGUUUAAAUUACAUGAAAUACAAAUCUAUUUUGUGAGCGUUUAAGAACCAAUGUUUGUUUCUCAAACCAAAAGUGAUUGCUACUAAAUGUUUAACAUUCCUUAAAUAUAAUGUAUCGAUACAGUUCUUAUUAAUUUCGAUUGUCUGUAACCAAUGGUAAACUUUCAACAAUAAUAUGAAUACUCAAUAGAUCAAACGAAAUGAUAUCUUGAACACUAUGUGUGAUGUAGGUGAGACUUUCUGAGUGACUUUGUGUGUUGCAUAUUAUCUAGUGAGAUAUACCGGAUGUUACAAGUUUGACGAAGCUAUCAAUUUUGAAAACAAAUUGCAUAUCCCACCAAAAUACACAAUCUAUGUGUAUACAUCUGUAAGAUACUGUUUUCAAGAGCUGUCGAACAUGCUGCCCAAAAUACUUGAUUUUGGUAUUACUAGCGGGAACUGUUGGUUCCAACCACGUUAUCGUGACUUUUUUCCUGUCAAUGUCACAGCAUUGAAGGCGUCAAGAGGGUGUAAAAACGAUAAUGGUGGCUUUCCCAUUAUUGGAUCGGAUUCAAUAAUGUUGUAUGAAAGUAGUGAUUUUGUUUGAAAAAGAGUUCUCGGUACAUGUACGAGCAAAUAUCAACAGUGAAUGGGACUGUUUCAUUCGUCGUGUAUUAUU